GACGAACGCUGGCGGCGUGCCUAAUACAUGCAAGUCGAACGCAGUGGGGACGGGUGAGUAACACGUGGGUAACCUCCCAUCAGAGGGGAUAACACUUGGAAACAGGUGCUAAACCGAUACUGAUGGAUGGACCCGCGGUGCAUUAGCUAGUUGGUGAGGUAACGGCGCACCAAGGCCACGAUGCAUAGCCGACCUGAGAGGGUGAGCGGCCACACUGGGACUGAGAAACGGCCCAGACCCAUCGGGUAGGCAGCAGUAGGGAAUCUUCGGCAAUUGAGGAAAGGCUGACCGAGCAACGCCGCGUGAGGGAAGAAGGUUUUCGGAUCGUAAAACUCUGUUGUUAGAGAAGCGGUAUCUAACCAGAAAGCCACGGCUAACUACGUGCCAGCAGCCGCGGUAAUUC
RNAcentral lists this ribosomal RNA (403 nucleotides) under uncultured bacterium. RNAcentral's name for it is "partial 16S ribosomal RNA". It matches the Rfam family "Bacterial small subunit ribosomal RNA", at positions 28 to 526 of the family's 1533-position model. The record is from RNAcentral.